This 482-nucleotide ribosomal RNA is filed under the name uncultured bacterium. RNAcentral describes it as "partial 16S ribosomal RNA". It matches the Rfam family "Bacterial small subunit ribosomal RNA", at positions 30 to 505 of the family's 1533-position model. The record is from RNAcentral.
AUUGAACGCUGGCGGCAGGCCUAACACAUGCAAGUCGAGCGGAUGAAGGGAGCUUGCUCCUGGAUUCAGCGGCGGACGGGUGAGUAAUGCCUAGGAAUCUGCCUGGUAGUGGGGGAUAACGUCCGGAAACGGGCGCUAAUACCGCAUACGUCCUGAGGGAGAAAGUGGGGGAUCUUCGGACCUCACGCUAUCAGAUGAGCCUAGGUCGGAUUAGCUAGUUGGUGGGGUAAAGGCCUACCAAGGCGACGAUCCGUAACUGGUCUGAGAGGAUGAUCAGUCACCCUGGAACUGGGACACGGUCCAGACUCCUACGGGAGGCAGCAGUGGGGAAUAUUGGACAAUGGGCGAAAGCCUGAUCCAGCCAUGCCGCGUGUGUGAAGAAGGUCUUCGGAUUGUAAAGCACUUUAAGUUGGGAGGAAGGGCAGUAAGUUAAUACCUUGCUGUUUUGACGUUACCAACAGAAUAGGCACCGGCUAACUUCG